UUAAUCUGUCCAUUCUGGAUUAAAUUCUAUAUUUUCGCUGUCCACUUUUCUUUUUUUGGAGAGCGCCAUUUGUUCUUUAUUCUCCCUUUCUCCGUCUCACUCGUCUGUUUCUCUCCCUUUCUCCGUCUCACUCGUCUGUUUCUCUCCCUUUCUCCGUCUCACUCGUCUGUUUCUCUCCCUUUCUCCGUCUCACUCGUCUGUUUCUCUCCCUUUCUCCGUCUCACUCGUCUGUUUCUCUCCUUUUGUUUCCUACAUGUAUCGCUAUCUUUCUUUCAUGUGUAACUUUACUUUAAUUCUCUCUCAUCUGUCUUGCGCUGUUGAGUCGCAGUGUUUACUUCAGGAAUGCACGGACUUGAUUGGCUGAGUCGUAUCACGUGGGAUGGUUUAACUCGUAUGCAAUUGGAAAAAAAAUCCUCUUCCUCGUCUCCGUGGAGUUUCAUUUUACCGGUACAACCAUUACAUCAGAUCUCUUAAAGGCUAUUAAUUACAAUUUAAUGAGAGAGACAGAAGUGACAGUGGUGAGGAAAACACUGAGAAACCUUGAGAGGAACCAGAGUCAACAGGAAACAUCCUCAUCUGGGGGAUCCGGCAGAGCAGCGUGAUGUAUUAUAGAUUUGAGAAAUAUUCCUUUCUGCCAAAGCCAUCAAAUGUUCGAUGAAGGAGAUAGGAGCGCAAGACCGACCACGCCAACAGCAGUUGCCACUGCCAUGGUCUCCACAGCAGUCCCAAAUAUCUCCAGGACAUCCAGGUGGGCCAAGCUCAGAGCAUCAGUGAGCAACACCAAGUGAACAACCAGAAGUAUGUCAUCAGGAAGCAGCAGGCAGAAGACAAUGUAUAUUAUGUGCAAAGUGCAGGCAGGGACCCUGGCAAGACUAGCUAUGACAGCAUAGCUACAAAAUGUUGAAGAACAUGAUGCAGACAUGAGGGCUUCCCGGGACAUCAAGCGGCCAUCCACUCCACCAUUAACAAAACACAAAAGCAAUAGCAUGGGAUGUAAAGCAUUGGCAUCUAGUUCCAACUCACACUCCCAGUGUUCCAGAGAUUGACUCUGGAUCUGCAACUCUGAACAGGAUAAAGCUUCUUUCUUUGUGGAAAAUCUGUCACUAUAUAGAAAUAGUAUAUAUUACAUAAGAUAAUGGUACACAAUAUAAAAUCUUUGUAUUACCCCUUCUAACCUUUCCUUUUUCAGUUCUAGUUGAAUGAUCAGUAAAUGGCUAUAGUUUCUAAUCAUGUGAAUGGACUGAGCCUCUUUCCAUAGACAUUUUUUUCCUAAUGUCCUCUUGGGCACUUGGCAUCAUUCCCAUUUUUCUGGCAUUGGCUCUCAAUCCAGUCCUCAGGCUCUUACAGAUGGCAAAAAAUUUUUUGGUCUAUCCCAGUUCCCUCAACACGAGUGUAUUAUUGAAAGUAUUUGUGAACGAGUCUGUGAACAUCUGAUCAUCACACCCAAUAUGGUUCCUCCCCUUUGAGCACACAAUUGUAUCUAAUGUCUGUAUCCUGUAACAGUUACAGUUUCCCUUUACUGGAGCUCAGAGACUCGAACCCUGUUCCAUCAUGACAAUGAACUCGAGUGUCCUUCACUGAGCCCUGACUCUGACUCAACACCACUGAACACUUUUGUGAUGAACUGGAACACAGACUGAACCCCAGACCUCCUCACUCUUACAUCAUCAGUGUCUGAUGCUCUUGUAGCUGAAUGAACACAAAUGCACACAGUCCACUCCAGCAUCAAGAGGAAAACCUUCAUAGAAGAAUGGAGAGCGUUAUUAAAAGCACAAAGAGAAUACAUCUAGAAUGGUGAGGUGUCUGUGUAUGUUUCCUCCCGUUUUCCCAAAAAAUAUGCCACUAGGUUAAAUAGCUACUACCUAAAUUUCACCUAGUAAUGUGUGUGUGUGUGCGUGUGCGCGUGAGUGUGUGAAGGUGUGCGUGCAUGGUGGUCUGCAAUAGACUGGCAUCCCACUCAGGGAGUAUUUCCACCACGCCCAGAGUUCCCAGAAUAGGCUGCGGAUCCACCACGUCUCUGACCAGGAUUAAGUGGUUACAGAAAAUGAAUGAAUGAAAUUACAUGAAGAUGGCAUGGGCCUCAGUACUGCAACCACACUACUAUUCCUGUCACUGCUUAAAGGCUGAA
This is a long non-coding RNA of Tachysurus vachellii, 2128 nucleotides long. RefSeq lists it as uncharacterized. The transcript is spliced from 3 exons. The record is from RefSeq and is a predicted model, not a curated record. NCBI's taxonomy places the organism in Eukaryota, Metazoa, Chordata, Actinopteri, Siluriformes, Bagridae.